AAAGGAGUUACGUACGAAUGUCAUACAAGCUGUACAAAAAGAGGACAAUGUUUUCACUGUGGAAAUUACCAAGGAUACCACUAAGUUAGAUAAUUUUCCCUUCAAUCCUGAUGCAGUGUUAGAGCGUC
Molecule: long non-coding RNA, 128 nt
Organism: Teleopsis dalmanni
Lineage: Eukaryota; Metazoa; Arthropoda; Insecta; Diptera; Diopsidae
Exons: 2
Source: RefSeq, a predicted model, not a curated record